UCCGUAGGGGGCAAGCGUUGUCCGGAAUCAUUGGGCGUAAAGAGCGUGUAGGCGGCUCGAUAAGUCCGCUGUGAAAGUCCAGGGCUCAACCCUGGAAGGCCGGUGGAAACUGUCGGGCUAGAGUCCGGAAGAGGCGAGUGGAAUUCCCGGUGUAGCGGUGAAAUGCGCAGAUAUCGGGAGGAACACCAGUAGCGAAGGCGGCACUCUGGGCCGGUACUGACGCUGAGGAGCGAAAGCGUGGGGAGCGAACAGG
Molecule: ribosomal RNA, 253 nt
Filed under: uncultured bacterium
Lineage: Bacteria
Description: partial 16S ribosomal RNA
Rfam family: Bacterial small subunit ribosomal RNA
Source: RNAcentral